AUACGUAGGUGGCAAGCGUUGUCCGGAUUUACUGGGCGUAAAGAGCGCGCAGGCGGCCAAGUAAGUCGAAUGUGAAAGCCCCCGGCUCAACUGGGGAAGGUCAUUCGAUACUGUUUGGCUUGAAGAUAGGAGAGGGAAGUGGAAUUUCAGGUGUAGUGGUGAAAUGCGUAGAUAUCUGAAGGAACACCAGUGGCGAAGGCGACUUUCUGGCCUAUUCUUGACGCUGAGGCGCGAAAGCUAGGGGAGCGAACGGGAGUAGAAACCCCAGUAGUCC
RNAcentral lists this ribosomal RNA (274 nucleotides) under uncultured bacterium. RNAcentral's name for it is "partial 16S ribosomal RNA". It matches the Rfam family "Bacterial small subunit ribosomal RNA", at positions 523 to 796 of the family's 1533-position model. The record is from RNAcentral.